This 405-nucleotide unclassified non-coding RNA is filed under the name Hevea brasiliensis (rubber tree). Lineage: Eukaryota; Viridiplantae; Streptophyta; Magnoliopsida; Malpighiales; Euphorbiaceae. The record is from RNAcentral.
AAAAAAAAAAAAGAAUGUCAUUUGCCACAUCAGCUCUUAGAUGAUGUGACCAGUAUUGCCAUCCAUGAUAUGGAAACAAAUUUUGACUCAUUUUUCAAGAUCAACAAAAUUUUAUUCAAGAAAUUCAUAAGAAAUUUGGAGGGAUCAAUAGCAAAAAUAAGUAAAUUUCAGGAGUUAAAAUAAGGAUUAUUACCUUAUAAUUACAAUUAUAACUAAUUGGAGGUUACAUGCAAAUUGCCAAAAUUAUAAAAUAGCAACAAAUAUCUCAGCAUCUUUUGAAGAAGAGCAGGUAAAAUAAGGUUUGCAAAGAUUAAGAUAUUUAACGACAUUUAAGAGGUAUUUAACCUCUGGUAAAGUGAUUAUAAUGCCCAGUUGGAUCUUAUAUAGUAUUUUACUGUAUUCAUA